This 541-nucleotide ribosomal RNA is filed under the name uncultured archaeon. Its description in RNAcentral is "bacterial SSU rRNA". It matches the Rfam family "Archaeal small subunit ribosomal RNA", at positions 459 to 999 of the family's 1478-position model. The record is from RNAcentral.
CAGCAGCCGCGGUAAUACCGGCGGCUCGAGUGGUGGCCACUAUUACUGGGCUUAAAGCGUCCGUAGCUUGGUUGUUAAGUCUCUUGGGAAAUCUGUCGGCUUAACCGACAGGCGUUUAAGGGAUACUGGCAAUCUAGGGACCGGGAGAGGUGAGAGGUACUCCAGGGGUAGGAGUGAAAUCCUGUAAUCCUUGGGGGACCACCUGUGGCGUAGGCGUCUCACCAGAACGGCUCCGACAGUGAGGGACGAAAGCUGGGGGAGCAAACCGGAUUAGAUACCCGGGUAGUCCCAGCCGUAAACGAUGCGCGUUAGGUGUAUCGGUGACCACGAGUCACCGAGGUGCCGAAGGGAAACCGUGAAACGUGCCGCCUGGGAAGUACGGUCGCAAGGCUGAAACUUAAAGGAAUUGGCGGGGGAGCACCACAACAGGUGGAGCCUGCGGUUUAAUCGGACUCAACGCCGGAAACCUCACCGGAUAAGACAGCGGGAUGAUAGCCAGGCUGAAGACUUUGCUUGACUAGCUGAGAGGAGGUGCAUGGCC